GAUGAAGAACGUAGCGAAAUGCGAUAAGUAGUGUGAAUUGCAGAAUUCCGUGAAUCAUCGAAUCUUUGAACGCACAUUGCGCCUUCUGGUAUUCCGGAAGGCAUGCCUGUUCGAGAGUCAUUAACAACCGUUUCGAUCCCUUUCUUUCAGAAAUUACAAAGAGGAAAAGGGUUUGGUUAUGGUGGAGGAGGGAAAGGGAGCGUUUAGCCUGUAAAAAAAGAGGCUGUGUUCCGCCUCCCCCCCAAAAUUGUACAGGCGGUCGUGUGCGCCCACGCAUCGAGGUGUUGUAAAAGCUGCCACGGCACUUUUCACCUGUGCAGUGCGAGAUUGGCCAGCCGGUUUAAAAACCCCUCCAAACAAUCAAAGGUUGACCUCGGAUCAGGUAGGGAUACCCGCUGAACUUAAGCAUAUCAAUAAGCUGAGGA
RNAcentral lists this unclassified non-coding RNA (425 nucleotides) under soil metagenome. RNAcentral's name for it is "partial contains 5.8S ribosomal RNA, internal transcribed spacer 2, and large subunit ribosomal RNA". The stretch from base 1 to 120 matches the Rfam family "5.8S ribosomal RNA", at positions 35 to 154 of the family's 154-position model. The record is from RNAcentral.